UACAGAGGGGGCAAGCGUUAUUCGGAAUUAUUGGGCGUAAAGGGCGCGUAGGCGGCGAUUCAAGUGACGGGUGAAAUCCCUCGGCUUAACCGAGGAACUGCCUGUCAGACUGGAAGGCUUGAGACCGGGAGAGGUGAGUGGAAUUCCCAGUGUAGCGGUGAAAUGCGUAGAUAUUGGGAGGAACACCAGUGGCGAAGGCGGCUCACUGGACCGGAACUGACGCUGAGGCGCGAAGGCCAGGGGAGCAAACGGG
RNAcentral lists this ribosomal RNA (253 nucleotides) under uncultured bacterium. Its description in RNAcentral is "partial 16S ribosomal RNA". It matches the Rfam family "Bacterial small subunit ribosomal RNA", at positions 524 to 776 of the family's 1533-position model. The record is from RNAcentral.